UACGUAGGGGGCGAGCGUUAUCCGGAAUUACUGGGCGUAAAGCGCACGUAGGCGGUCUUUUAAGUCGGGGGUGAAAUCCUGGAGCUCAACUCCAGAACUGCCUUCGAUACUGGAAGACUUGAGUCCGGGAGAGGUGAGUGGAACUGCGAGUGUAGAGGUGAAAUUCGUAGAUAUUCGCAAGAACACCAGUGGCGAAGGCGGCUCACUGGCCCGGUACUGACGCUGAGGUGCGAAAGCGUGGGGAGCAAACAGG
Molecule: ribosomal RNA, 253 nt
Filed under: uncultured bacterium
Lineage: Bacteria
Description: partial 16S ribosomal RNA
Rfam family: Bacterial small subunit ribosomal RNA
Source: RNAcentral